UACGGAGGGAGCUAGCGUUGUUCGGAAUUACUGGGCGUAAAGCGCGCGUAGGCGGCUUUGUAAGUUAGAGGUGAAAGCCCGGGGCUCAACCCCGGAAUUGCCUUUAAGACUGCAUCGCUAGAAUCGUGGAGAGGUGAGUGGAAUUCCGAGUGUAGAGGUGAAAUUCGUAGAUAUUCGGAAGAACACCAGUGGCGAAGGCGACUCACUGGACACGUAUUGACGCUGAGGUGCGAAAGCGUGGGGAGCAAACAGG
This 253-nucleotide ribosomal RNA is filed under the name uncultured bacterium. RNAcentral's name for it is "partial 16S ribosomal RNA". It matches the Rfam family "Bacterial small subunit ribosomal RNA", at positions 524 to 776 of the family's 1533-position model. The record is from RNAcentral.